RNAcentral lists this small RNA (119 nucleotides) under Arabidopsis thaliana (thale cress). Its description in RNAcentral is "ATSL034740". Lineage: Eukaryota; Viridiplantae; Streptophyta; Magnoliopsida; Brassicales; Brassicaceae. The record is from RNAcentral.
AGAAGCAGUAAUUUAAAGAAUUAGAGAUGGAUUAAGAGUGUUUAGACAAUACUUAUACCCAUUUUCUCCUAAAAGAGUCUUAAACCAACAAAAAAUUGCUUAAAAGCAGUAAACAGUUU